CUGCCUUUCUCUGAAGAACUACUGAGGGGAGGAGACAGCCAGGUGAGGAGAAACUGUUCUUAUCUAUCGAUUCAGGAUUUUUAUCAUACUGACAUCAGGCUGUUGUGCUAUUAGCUAGCUGCUAGCUAACGACUUUGCUAGCAAACUAAAAAGCUUCUUCCCUGUAUUGUUAAUAUCAGUCAUUGUUCAGUAAUGAUUAUGAUAUAGGGGAACAUCGCCCGUCCAAAACCGAUCAUCUCCGUAAUGGAUAAAUGUCUAAUUUCCUUUGCUGCAUAAAGUACAUUGCAUUUAUUCUGGCGUUAGGUAAAUGUGUCUUGAAGGAGAAUGUUAGGUACCAGGUUGGGUUUUCUUCUUUUUCAGCUCUGACCAUCUGAGGGCGCCAGAGGCUGUUUCCUUGUCCUUGGUGGGUGUGUCAGCAGGCUCCGCGGUACGCACCUGGCUCCAAUCGUCAUCUAGAGGAGUAUUUAAGCGGCAGGCUCCCGCUCUUCACCGCCAGAGUGUUUUACCUAUUGUGGACAUCUUCAAGUUUUCCCCGGAGAACUCCUGUUGUCGAGCCUAGAGGGUAGUCCCCUCACGACGCUGGGAGCGAGACUCACCGGGAACUGGAGUCCUCCCACAUCCCUCUGUUUAAGAGCCCGCUGUGCGCCUCCGGCUGGAGUCCGCCCCGAAGACUCCUGGUCUCUCACUCUCACGAGUCGUUCCCUUCCUCGUCCCUCUCCGAGUCAGCCUCUACGCCUAGCCGCAACCUGGUACCGGAACCUUCCCCCAACCAGAAUUCUUUAUCACAAGUAAGCUGCGAACCCAUACAAGUUGCCAGAUUUCCUACGGUCAUUAAACUCACCUCCACUCUCCCCUGUGUGCAGCCGUGCCAGUCCUUCCACUGCAGCUUCCCGACUGUGGAUGUUUUGAACUUUAUUGUCAAUAAACAUCUAAAGUUUCAUUCUGCCUCUCUGUGAGUUUCUGCAUGUGGGCUCAAAAACUAAAACCCAGCAUGACA
Molecule: long non-coding RNA, 997 nt
Organism: Poecilia latipinna (sailfin molly)
Lineage: Eukaryota; Metazoa; Chordata; Actinopteri; Cyprinodontiformes; Poeciliidae
Exons: 2
Source: RefSeq, a predicted model, not a curated record